Molecule: long non-coding RNA, 1025 nt
Filed under: Ananas comosus (pineapple)
Lineage: Eukaryota; Viridiplantae; Streptophyta; Magnoliopsida; Poales; Bromeliaceae
Description: long non-coding RNA (ACOM_LNC019721)
Source: RNAcentral
GAAGCAGAGAGAAAAAAAAAUUACAACUUAAAAAAAAAUCGCAUAUUUUAUGAUCAAUUAUAAGAGAAAAUUAAUUUAGUUUUUCUUUUCUUUCCUUUUAAUCGAUUUCACAUAGAAAAUGAAAAAAUUGUAGAACUAAUCUACAUAAAAAAAUUGAUCAACGAAUGCGAUCCAAAACACACGCAUCACAAGUAUGAUCAUUAGGCGAAAACAAGCACACAUGCUCUGAUACCAAUUGGUGGAAAUAUUAGGCAGCGGAAACUUACAAACCGGAUAGCCAACGUAUUCGGGAACCGGAAUCGGAUCGGAUUGCCUGUUUUACAAGCCUUCUUGGAUCAUUCUUGUCUCGAUGCUUCUGGGUCUCCCACGUUUCUCGCCUUCUCCCACGCGUACGCCUUACGUCACGGAUCGGAUGCGAAUCUGAUGCGACAGAUGCCAAUCGAAGAGGGCUACCAAAGUCCUCUUCUAUGUCCACACUCCAAAACCCCGAAAACGUAGGUGGAAAUCCGAGAGAGGAAGAAGAAAGAGAAGAAUGAAGAUUUAUCGUGGAUUCUUUCGAAUUAGAUCGUAUUCGAUAGUCACUUUUUAGGAGAGAAAAAGGGGACGUAUUUAUAGAAUAAUGGAACCCCUAAAUAUCCUGAAUCUCAUAGAGAGAUUAGGAUAAGGAUUAGGAUUGGGAUAUCCAUAAUAGAUAUCCACUAGAAGAUAUAUUUCUUAACUAAUAAGAAACAUAUAAUUUAUUCUUAUCCUUAACUUAUUAGGAUAAAUCUCAAUCCACAUCUUAAGUGGAUCAGGUUAAAUUAAGAUCCGCCAAUGUGGACACACCACAUGGCAACAGGAAUAAUAUAUAUAUGAGAUAUAAUAAAGCUAAACCUCUUACCCAACUAUAAUAUUUUGGACGGUGGUUAGACCCAAGAGGUUAAGAGGGUUAAAUAUGCUAGGUUAGAAUAGUUUUAAGAUAGGUGACCUCCUGAGAAGCAGGGCACCAUAAUUGGUAUCAAAGCCAAUCACCAGCUAGAAGUGUA